GUAUCGAUUCACAUAAAGAAAGAGGAUCCAAACGCCUUAUCCUUCUUGCAACGAUCGGACCAAUCUGCCUCCUGCUGGUGCUUGCAUUGCUGGUGUUUGCUUGCUGGAGAAAAAGACAGAAGAAGCCGACAAAUGCUGAGACUGAUGACACAUAUACUGAUCUGAGGUUGUCAGGUAUUACAAGUAUAUAUGAUCAGCUGAAGCCCGAGAUCCCUGCAGACAACAAUGUUCUAGGACCUGAUGUGGGUGCAGCUCAUGAAUAUGAAAACUGAAUACAUUUUCAAAAUAAGAACAAA
Molecule: long non-coding RNA, 296 nt
Organism: Bufo bufo (common toad)
Lineage: Eukaryota; Metazoa; Chordata; Amphibia; Anura; Bufonidae
Exons: 4
Source: RefSeq, a predicted model, not a curated record